Molecule: non-coding RNA, 571 nt
Organism: Mauremys reevesii (Reeves's turtle)
Lineage: Eukaryota; Metazoa; Chordata; Testudines; Geoemydidae
Source: the annotation of a RefSeq genome assembly
AUGGCGCUGCUGCUGCCGGGGUGUCUUUUCUGCCUCCUGGCGGCUCCCUUCUGUGUCCUCUCGCAGAUCCAGCUGGUCCCGUCCGCCCCGGGAGUGGUGAAGCCCGGAGAGUCCCUCACGGUGACUUGUGCAGUGUCGGGGGACUCCAUCGCUACCCGCGCCUGGUGGAACUGGGUGCGCGAACUCCCCGGCCGAGGGCUGCAAUGGGUGGGGCGCAUCCAUUUCUCCGGGAGCACGAACUACGCCCCCGGCCUGCAAACCCGAGCGAGCAUCAGCAAAGAUGACGCCAAGAACGAGUAUUACCUGCAGCUCCGCUCCCUGACCGCUGCGGACACCGCCACCUAUUACUGCACCAGAUAAAAGUUUUUGAGGGGAAACAGCCUAUUUCCCACCCAGCUCUGCUGGACUCAGACCCGUCUCCAUCUGGCCCAAUCCUCCUGCUAGUUCAGCCAAUGAAAACCAGAUUCUGCUCAUUUACACUGGUUCAAACCCUGCCUGACAUCACUGCUUUCUGCGGGACUAGUUCAGAUCUCCCUCCCUCCCUGCUGUCAUUGGGGGGGCGGGGCUGGAC